Molecule: non-coding RNA, 275 nt
Organism: Ricinus communis (castor bean)
Lineage: Eukaryota; Viridiplantae; Streptophyta; Magnoliopsida; Malpighiales; Euphorbiaceae
Source: Rfam
GACGCCUCUAGUCAGAAUCCGGGCCAGAAGCGACGCGUUGUCCGCCGCUCGUUUGCCGACCAGCAGUAGGGGCCCUCCGGCCCCCAAAGGCACGUGUCGUUGGCUAAGCCCUCGCGGCGGACGAGCCGCGCGGGCCGCCUUGAAUUACAAUUUCCACCGGGCGGCGGACUGAAUCCUUUGCAGACGACUUAAAUACGCGACGGGGUAUUGUAAGUGGCAGAGUGGCCUUGCUGCCACGAUCCACUGAGAUUCAGCCCUUCGUCGCUCCGAUUCGU